GACGAACGCUGGCGGCGUGCUUAACACAUGCAAGUCGAACGCUGAAGGCCCAGCUUGCUGGGUUGGAUGAGUGGCGAACGGGUGAGUAACACGUGAGUAACCUGCCCCCUUCUUUGGGAUAACGGUCGGAAACGGCUGCUAAUACCGGGUAUUCACUGUCCUUCGCAUGGGGGGUGGUGGAAAGGUUUUUUCUGGUGGGGGAUGGGCUCGCGGCCUAUCAGCUUGUUGGUGGGGUGAUGGCUUACCAAGGCUUUGACGGGUAACCGGCCUGAGAGGGUGACCGGUCACAUUGGGACUGAGAUACGGCCCAGACUCCUACGGGAGGCAGCAGUGGGGAAUAUUGCACAAUGGGCGAAAGCCUGAUGCAGCGACGCCGCGUGAGGGAUGGAGGCCUUCGGGUUGUAAACCUCUUUCGCUCAUGGUCAAGCCGCAACUUGGGUUGUGGUGAGGGUAGUGGGUAAAGAUGCACCGGCUAACUACGUGCUAGCAGCCGCGGUAAUACGUAUGUGCGAGUGUUGUCCGGAAUCAUUGAGCGUAAAGGGCAUUAGGCGUUUUGUCACGUCUGCCGUGAAAUCAUCUGGCUAACUGGGGGGGGCAGGGGUACCCUCUUAUUUGAGGGUCGGGGGUAACUGGGACUUGGGGUGUCUCGUUUCACGUCCC
RNAcentral lists this ribosomal RNA (660 nucleotides) under uncultured Actinomyces sp. RNAcentral's name for it is "bacterial SSU rRNA". It matches the Rfam family "Bacterial small subunit ribosomal RNA", at positions 28 to 700 of the family's 1533-position model. Lineage: Bacteria; Bacillati; Actinomycetota; Actinomycetes; Actinomycetales; Actinomycetaceae. The record is from RNAcentral.